Molecule: small nuclear RNA, 104 nt
Filed under: Chinchilla lanigera (long-tailed chinchilla)
Lineage: Eukaryota; Metazoa; Chordata; Mammalia; Rodentia; Chinchillidae
Source: RNAcentral
AUGUUAGCUUUGAUGGCACAUAUACUAAAACUGGAACGAUACAGAGAUUAGCAUGGCCCCUGCGCACGGAUGACACGCAAAUUUGUGAAGCGUUCCAUAUUUUU